Molecule: long non-coding RNA, 526 nt
Filed under: Felis catus (domestic cat)
Lineage: Eukaryota; Metazoa; Chordata; Mammalia; Carnivora; Felidae
Description: lncRNA (ENSFCAG00000047641.1)
Source: RNAcentral
CCCUUGCCGGCCACGGCCCCGGGGCCGUUUUCCGAGUGUUCUUCGGGGCCAGCAAGAGUGGGCCUUCCUCCCUCUACUAUGUCACCGUCACCUCCAGAACCGAAGGCUUUGCCAAGGAAGCCCCUUCUCUGCUCUGGCCCCAUCACCAGCCCCGGGUCUUAAGUGGGUCCGGGGUCUCGGGGAGCACCUGCUCUGGCCUCCCCUGGCCUCCCCGACCCCAUCUCCUGACGGCUCCUCUGACGAUGUGUGUGCUGUGGAGACGUAGGCCUCCAGCCUUCCGGCUGCCCAGUGCACUGAGGCCCGCCCAUCUUCAGUCACCAGAGAGUCACCUUGUGUGUGGACCCGUUCCUGUAACCCUUCGAGUACUGUGUAGUGACUGGCCAUUACCCCUGUAGCCUCAAGGUCAAGGAAAUGCCAGAUGGACUGAAUCAGCUUCACCAGCAGGAACUGGCAACGUGAAGUGACGGACAGAGAUGGGGUGACUCAAAGGACUUCUUGGAGCCUCUGCGUGAGGCCAUUCGACUGU